This is a long non-coding RNA of Corapipo altera (White-ruffed manakin), 220 nucleotides long. RefSeq lists it as uncharacterized. The transcript is spliced from 3 exons. NCBI's taxonomy places the organism in Eukaryota, Metazoa, Chordata, Aves, Passeriformes, Pipridae. The record is from RefSeq and is a predicted model, not a curated record.
GGUGCCGGUGACACGGGCGGUGGCCGCAGUUCGCCUUCCUGUUCUACCUGCUGACCUACGUGGGGGCCGCGUUCAACGGGCUCACCCUGCUCGGAGCGGGUGUGAUCUGUGCAUUCACCUUCCCCGUGCUCUACCGGCGCCACCAGGCCCAGAUCGACCAGUACCUGAGUCUGGCGAGGAGCCACCUGAGCCACCUUCGAGCCAGGUGAGGGUGUGUCCC